RNAcentral lists this ribosomal RNA (261 nucleotides) under uncultured bacterium. RNAcentral describes it as "partial 16S ribosomal RNA". It matches the Rfam family "Bacterial small subunit ribosomal RNA", at positions 793 to 1055 of the family's 1533-position model. The record is from RNAcentral.
GUCCUAGCCCUAAACGAUGAGCACUAGGCAUUGGGCCUCUGGUUCAGUGCCGCAGCUAACGCAUGAAGUGCUCCGCCUGGGGACUACGGCCGCAAGGUUGAAACUCAAAGGAAUUGACGGGGGCCCGCACAAGCGGUGGAGCAUGUGGUUUAAUUCGAUGCAACGCGGCGAACCUUACCUGGGUUUGACAUCCCCGGCAAUCUUGGGAAACCAGGAGUUUUGAGCAAUCAAACCGGGAGACAGGUGGUGCAUGGCUGUCGU